This 72-nucleotide transfer RNA is filed under the name Ovis aries (sheep). It matches the Rfam family "tRNA". From Rfam's summary of the family: Transfer RNA (tRNA) molecules are approximately 80 nucleotides in length. The record is from Rfam by way of RNAcentral. Lineage: Eukaryota; Metazoa; Chordata; Mammalia; Artiodactyla; Bovidae.
UCCCUGGUGGCUCAGAGGUUAAAGCGUCUGCCUGCAUUGUGGGAGACCCGGGUUCGAUUCCUGGGUUGGGAA